AAGGAGCACCACGAAAAGGGUUGAGACACUGGGUCUUACCCGAGCCGUGAGGAACCGGUUGCCUGUAGUGGGCACGGUUUGGUGCACAACAAACUUUUUUGACUGCCAGACACACUAUUGGGCUUUGAGACAACAGGCCCGUGCCCCUUUUGGGGGGUGGCAUCCGGUUGCGGGUGUCGGCGUGUUGUUGCCUCACUUUGGUGGUGGGGUGUGGUGUUUGAUUUGUGGAUAGUGGUUGCGAGCAUCUAGCACGCAGAAUCGUGUGGUCUCACUCCUUGUGGGUGGGGCUGGUUUUGUGUGU
This 301-nucleotide unclassified non-coding RNA is filed under the name Mycolicibacterium fortuitum. Its description in RNAcentral is "partial 16S-23S ribosomal RNA intergenic spacer". Lineage: Bacteria; Bacillati; Actinomycetota; Actinomycetes; Mycobacteriales; Mycobacteriaceae. The record is from RNAcentral.